GACGGAGGUGCCAAGCGUUAGGCGGAAUCACUGGGCUUAAAGCGUGUGUAGGCGGGUCGGUAAGUACCUUGUGAAAUCCCACGGCUCAACCGUGGAACUGCUUGGUAUACUGGCGAUCUUGAGCCAGCUAGGGGCUACCGGAACAAACGGUGGAGCGGUGAAAUGCGUAGAUAUCGUUUGGAACGCCAAUGGUGAAAACAGGUAGCUGGGGCUGUGCUGACGCUGAGACACGAAAGCCAGGGGAGCGAACGGG
Molecule: ribosomal RNA, 253 nt
Filed under: uncultured bacterium
Lineage: Bacteria
Description: partial 16S ribosomal RNA
Rfam family: Bacterial small subunit ribosomal RNA
Source: RNAcentral